AUUGAACGCUGGCGGCAGGCCUAACACAUGCAAGUCGAGCGAGCGGCGGACGGGUGAGUAAUGUAUGGGGACUGCCCGAUAGAGGGGGAUAACUACUGGAAACGGUAGCUAAUACCGCAUACUAUCGGAUAACCCAGAUGGGAUUAGCUAGUAGGUGAGGUAAUGGCUGACCUAGGCGACGAGCCCUAGCUGGUCUGCGAGGAUGAUCAGCCACACUGGGACUGAGACACGUCCCAGACUCCUACGGAGGCAGCAGGGGGGAAUAUGGGACAAUGUGCGCAAGCCUGAUGCAGCCAUGCCGCUUGUAUGAAGAAGUCCCUAGGGUUGUAAAGUACUUGCAGUCGGGAGGCGUUACCGACAGAAGAAGCACCUGCUAACUCCGUGCCAGCAGCCGCGGUAAUAC
This 403-nucleotide ribosomal RNA is filed under the name uncultured bacterium. RNAcentral describes it as "partial 16S ribosomal RNA". It matches the Rfam family "Bacterial small subunit ribosomal RNA", at positions 30 to 526 of the family's 1533-position model. The record is from RNAcentral.